RNAcentral lists this long non-coding RNA (1332 nucleotides) under Oncorhynchus mykiss (rainbow trout). RNAcentral's name for it is "lncRNA (ENSOMYG00000048261.1)". The record is from RNAcentral. Lineage: Eukaryota; Metazoa; Chordata; Actinopteri; Salmoniformes; Salmonidae.
ACAUCAGUUCUGCUCUGCUCUGCUCUGUUCUGUUCAGUUCUGUUCUGUUCUGUUCUGCUCUAUUCUAUUCUAAUCUAUUUAUUCUGCUCUGCUCUGCUCUGCUCUGCUCUGUUCUGUUCUGUUCUGUUCUGUUCUAUUCUAUUCUAUUCUAUUCUAUUUAUUCUAUUCUGCUCUGCUCUGUUCUGUUCUGUUCUGUUCUGCUCUGCUCUGUUCUGUUCAGUUCUGUUCUGUUCUGCUCUAUUCUAUUCUAAUCUAUUUAUUCUGCUCUGCUCUGCUCUGCUCUGCUCUGUUCUGUUCUGUUCUGUUCUGUUCUAUUCUAUUCUAUUCUAUUCUAUUUAUUCUAUUCUGCUCUGCUCUUUUCUGUUCUGUUCUGUUCUGCUCUAUUCUAUUCUAAUCUAUUUAUUCUGCUCUGCUCUGCUCUGCUCUGUUCUGUUCUGUUCUGUUCUAUUCUAUUCUAUUCUAUUUAUUCUAUUCUGCUUUGCUCUUUUCUGCUCUGUUCUGUUCUGUUCUGUUCUGUUCUAUUCUAUUCUAUUCUAUUUAUUCUAUUCUGCUCUGCUCUUUUCUGCUCUGCUCUGUUCUGCUCUGUUCUGCUCUGCUCUGUUCUGCUCUGCUCUGCUCUGCUCUGCUCUGUUCUGUUCAGUUCUGUUCUGUUCUGCUCUAUUCUAUUCUAAUCUAUUUAUUCUGCUCUGCUCUGCUCUGCUCUGUUCUGUUCUGUUCUAUUCUAUUAUAUUUAUUAUAUUCUGCUCUGCUCUUUUCUGCUCAGUUCUGUUCUGCAACAGUUCAGCCACAGCAGUAAUAUUCAUACUUUUGUUAAACAUUUCAAACUAUAUUUUUGAUGUCAUAAAAAAACACAUACAAAAAAAAACAGAUAUCACAAUACCCCAUACUGACAUCACAAUACCCCAUACUGAUAUCACAAUACCCAAUACUGACAUCACAAUACCCCAUACUGACAUCACAAUACCCCAUACUGACAUCACAAUACCCAAUACUGACAUCACAAUACCCCAUACUGACAUCACAAUACCCCAUAAUGACAUCACAAUACCCCAUACUGACAUCACAAUACCCCAUACUGAUAUCACAAUACCCAAUACUGACAUAACAAUACCCCAUACUGACAUCACAAUACCCAAUACUGACAUCACAAUACCCCAUACUGACAUCACAAUACCCAAUACUGACAUCACAAUACCCCAUACUGACAUCACAAUACCCCAUAAUGAUAAAGUAAAACACGUUUUUAGAAUUUGUUUUGCACAUCUAUUGAAAAUAAAAAAACUGAAAUAUCUAGUUUACAUAAGUAUUCACAUGUACUGUAGGCGUGUGUGA